RNAcentral lists this ribosomal RNA (608 nucleotides) under uncultured bacterium. Its description in RNAcentral is "bacterial SSU rRNA". It matches the Rfam family "Bacterial small subunit ribosomal RNA", at positions 63 to 656 of the family's 1533-position model. The record is from RNAcentral.
CGUACGGGCUUGAGGGGCAACUCUCAAGUCAGUGGCGAACGGGUGCGUAACACGUGAGCAACUUGCCCUAAGGUGGGGGAUAGCCGGCCCAACGGCCGGGUAAUACCGCAUAUGACGCCGGGAUCGCAUGGUCCUGGCGGGAAAGCGGCCGCAAGGUCGCGCCAAAGGUGGGGCUCGCGACGUAUCAGCUAGUUGGUAGGGUAACGGCCUACCAAGGCUACGACGCGUAGCUGGUCUGAGAGGAUGGCCAGCCACAUUGGGACUGAGAUACGGCCCAGACUCCUACGGGAGGCAGCAGUGGGGAAUAUUGCGCAAUGGCCGCAAGGCUGACGCAGCGACGCCGCGUGUGGGAUGACGGCCUUCGGGUUGUAAACCACUGUCGGGGGGGGCGAAUACUCGGCUUCGAAUAGGAGACCGAGGGUGACGGUACCCCCAAAGGAAGCACCGGCUAACUCCGUGCCAGCAGCCGCGGUAAUACGGAGGGUGCGAGCGUUGUCCGGAAUCACUGGGCGUAAAGGGCGCGUAGGCGGCCAUGUAAGUCACUUGUGAAAUCCCGGGGCUCAACUCCGGGGCUGCAGGUGAGACUGCGUGGCUAGAGCACGGUAGAG